Molecule: transfer RNA, 74 nt
Filed under: Spirochaetales bacterium
Lineage: Bacteria; Pseudomonadati; Spirochaetota; Spirochaetia; Spirochaetales
Description: tRNA-Val
Rfam family: tRNA
About the family: Transfer RNA (tRNA) molecules are approximately 80 nucleotides in length. Their secondary structure includes four short double-helical elements and three loops (D, anti-codon, and T loops). Further hydrogen bonds mediate the characteristic L-shaped molecular structure. tRNAs have two regions of fundamental functional importance: the anti-codon, which is responsible for specific mRNA codon recognition, and the 3' end, to which the tRNAs corresponding amino acid is attached (by aminoacyl-tRNA synthetases). tRNAs cope with the degeneracy of the genetic code in two manners: having more than one tRNA (with a specific anti-codon) for a particular amino acid; and 'wobble' base-pairing, i.e. permitting non-standard base-pairing at the 3rd anti-codon position.
Source: RNAcentral
GGGCGGCUAGCUCAGUUGGUUAGAGCACUAGCUCGACACGCUAGGGGUCACAGGUUCGAGUCCUGCGCCGCCCA